UAGAUGCGAGAGUAGAGCAUAUCAAUAAGCGGGAGGAAAAGAAACUAACAAGGAUUCCCUUAGUAACGGCGAGUGAAGCGGGAAGAGCUCAAAUUUGAAAUCUUCAAGGUUCUACCUUGACGAAUUGUAGUUUAUAGAAGUGUUUUCUGUUAGUAGAGUGGCUAAAAGUUCUUUGGAAUAGGACAUCAUAGAGGGUGAGAAUCCCGUAUUUGUACCAUUCUUUCUAGCUUUGUGAUACACUUUCAACGAGUCGGAUUGUUUGGGAAUGCAGUCCAAAAUGGGUGGUAAAUUUCAUCUAAAGCUAAAUAUUGGCGAGAGACCGAUAGCGAACAAGUACCGUGAGGGAAAGAUGAAAAGAACUUUGAAAAGAGAGUUAAACAGUACGUGAAAUUGUCAAAAGGGAAGCGUUUGACACCAGUGUUGUUUUUCCGAAAAUCAAUUACGAAUGUUUUGUUUUUGAGGAGUUAUGACUUCAUCGGCUUGCUUCCCUCUUUACGAAACUUUCUUAAUGCACUUUUCGGUUAACAAGUCAACAUCAAUUUCUUUUGUUGUAAAAGGGUAUGAGGAAGGUGGCUUUCUUUUCGGAGAAAGUGUUUAUAGCCUUGUGCCUCUGCAAUCGGAGAGAUUGAGGUCUGCAGCGUAGAUCCUUCGGGGUUAGAUACAUUUGUGCUAAGUUAUAGCUUUUCAUAGACAACUUGUUGACUAUGUUAAGUCUUGUAGCUUACUCGCUUAUGCUAUUUUACCUACGCUUAGGAUGUUGACGAGACUGUCGAUCUC
RNAcentral lists this ribosomal RNA (777 nucleotides) under uncultured Neocallimastigales. RNAcentral describes it as "partial large subunit ribosomal RNA". It matches the Rfam family "Eukaryotic large subunit ribosomal RNA", at positions 22 to 647 of the family's 3401-position model. Lineage: Eukaryota; Fungi; Neocallimastigomycota; Neocallimastigomycetes; Neocallimastigales. The record is from RNAcentral.